UACAGAGGUGGCAAGCGUUGUUCGGAAUUACUGGGCGUAAAGGGCGCGUAGGCGGUCUUGUAAGUCUCGUGUGAAAUCCCUCGGCUUAACUGAGGAACUGCACGGGAUACUGCAUGACUUGAGGUCGGGAGAGGGAAGCGGAAUUCCGGGUGUAGCGGUGAAAUGCGUAGAUAUCCGGAGGAGCACCGGUGGCGAAGGCGGCUUCCUGGACCGACUCUGACGCUGAGGCGCGAAAGCGUGGGGAGCAAACGGG
This 253-nucleotide ribosomal RNA is filed under the name uncultured bacterium. RNAcentral's name for it is "partial 16S ribosomal RNA". It matches the Rfam family "Bacterial small subunit ribosomal RNA", at positions 524 to 776 of the family's 1533-position model. The record is from RNAcentral.